RNAcentral lists this ribosomal RNA (443 nucleotides) under uncultured bacterium. RNAcentral's name for it is "partial 16S ribosomal RNA". It matches the Rfam family "Bacterial small subunit ribosomal RNA", at positions 338 to 795 of the family's 1533-position model. The record is from RNAcentral.
ACUACGGGUGGCAGCAGUGGGGAAUAUUGGGCAAUGGGCGCAAGCCUGACCCAGCAACGCCGCGUGAAGGAAGAAGGCUUUCGGGUUGUAAACUUCUUUUCUCAGGGACGAAGAAAGUGACGGUACCUGAGGAAUAAGCCACGGCUAACUACGUGCCAGCCGCCGCGGUAAUACGUAGGUGGCAAGCGUUAUCCGGAUUUAUUGGGUGUAAAGGGCGUGUAGGCGGGAGCGCAAGUCAGAUGUGAAAACUCAGGGCUCAACCCUGAGCCUGCAUUUGAUACUGUGUUUCUUGAGUGCUGGAGAGGCAAUCGGAAUUCCGGGUGGAGCGGUGAAAUGCGUAGAUAGACGGAGGAACACCAGUGGCGAAGGCGGAUUGCUGGACAGUAACUGACGCUGAGGCGCGAAAGCGUGGGGAGCAAACAGGAUUAGAUACCCGGGUAGUC